RNAcentral lists this ribosomal RNA (271 nucleotides) under uncultured prokaryote. RNAcentral describes it as "partial 16S ribosomal RNA". It matches the Rfam family "Bacterial small subunit ribosomal RNA", at positions 524 to 794 of the family's 1533-position model. The record is from RNAcentral.
UACGGAGGAUCCGAGCGUUAUCCGGAUUUAUUGGGUUUAAAGGGUGCUCAGGCGGGCCAUUAAGUCGGCGGUGAAAUUUUGCGGCUCAACCGUAAAAGUGCCUUCGAUACUGGUGGUCUUGAGUGUGGAUGAGGUAGGCGGAAUUUGUGGUGUAGCGGUGAAAUGCAUAGAUAUCACGAGGAACUCCGAUUGCUAAGGCAGCUUACUAAGCCAUAACUGACGCUCAAGCACGAAGGCGUGGGGAUCAAACAGGAUUAGAUACCCCGGUAGU